RNAcentral lists this ribosomal RNA (497 nucleotides) under uncultured bacterium. Its description in RNAcentral is "partial 16S ribosomal RNA". It matches the Rfam family "Bacterial small subunit ribosomal RNA", at positions 28 to 507 of the family's 1533-position model. The record is from RNAcentral.
GAUGAACGCUGGCGGCGUGCCUAAUACAUGCAAGUCGAGCGAACAGACGAGGAGCUUGCUCCUCUGACGUUAGCGGCGGACGGGGGAGUAACACGUGGAUAACCUACCUAUAAGACUGGGAUAACUUCGGGAAACCGGAGCUAAUACCGGAUAACAUGUUGAACCGCAUGGUUCAACAGUGAAAGACGGUCUUGCUGUCACUGAUAGAUGGAUCCGCGCCGCAUUAGCUAGUUGGUAAGGUAACGGCUUACCAAGGCAACGAUGCGUAGCCGACCUGAGAGGGUGAUCGGCCACACUGGAACUGAGACACGCUCCCGACUCCUACGGGAGGCAGCAGUAGGGAAUCUUCCGCAAUGGGCGAAAGCCUGACGGAGCAACGCCGCGUGAGUGAAGAAGGUCUUCGGCUCGUAAAACUCUGUUAUUAGGGAAGAACAAAUGUGUAAGUAACUAUGCACGUCUUGACGGUACCUAAUCAGAAAGCCACGGCUAACUACGUG